GUAACAAAGCUAUUUACUGCUUCUAAGCAAAGUUUUCUUGGUUUUAGCCUCUUUUGGGAGAAAAUUGGUAUAAGU
RNAcentral lists this small RNA (75 nucleotides) under Arabidopsis thaliana (thale cress). RNAcentral's name for it is "ATSL036460". The record is from RNAcentral. Lineage: Eukaryota; Viridiplantae; Streptophyta; Magnoliopsida; Brassicales; Brassicaceae.